UGAGACUAAAGGCAUGUACCCCCGACUCU
This 29-nucleotide non-coding RNA is filed under the name Mus musculus (house mouse). Lineage: Eukaryota; Metazoa; Chordata; Mammalia; Rodentia; Muridae. The record is from RNAcentral.